AAACAGGUCGACUGCAGGAAGCACAGAGACAAACCCUCACGUGAGCUUGGAUUGGACUAACACCUCAUUAGCAAAGAGCUGCCUCACUCAGGGUAGGUUCAGGACGGAGAAGGAGAGUCUGAUGCCUGAGCAGAAAAGGCAGCCUCCUCGCCAGCUUCCACCAGAAAUCCAGCAACCCCAGACCUAUCGUGGUUGUUCGUGUUACUGAAGGUCUGCGGAGUCAUGGCGGGGGAGUCCCCAUCAGAGAGUCUCUUUCCAUGUCUGUGUGCUUAGCAGCUCCAUCUCUGGUCUUUCUUGUCCCUCUUCAUCUACAGAGAAACCUCAUCUUGAAAUCUGGAUACCCAAGGACUUCAUUCUAUCCUACAACGAACUCAUCAGACAAGUUUCUCAUCAAAAGAACCCCACCACCACUACUAGAAAAGAAGUUACGUCAGCUGCUAAGAAGGCACUAUUCUCUCUAAAUCAUUUCCUUCUCAUGUAUUUAUUUAUUGUCUUUCCUAUCUCUCUCCAGAGAGGAUCUGAAGAAACUUACAGAAAAGUAGUGAUGUGCUAUAAUUCAGCUAUGAGGAAGGGAGGGAGAAAAUACCCUGACCCCGUGAUGAUUAGAACUGUUGAGAUUCCAUAGGAACUCCAGCCAGGAGCUCCAGGUAGCCACAACAGAAGGGAAAGCACUAUUCUGGAGUAGCUAUUUAUUUCAUAUUGUCAUAAUGAUAAAACAUCCUGACACCCCAGAGGAGAAAAACUUCAAGGCAGCUUUCAAACCAUCACCUUGGAAGGCCAAAUUCUUGGAUAAGAAGUCUCAUUUCGUCUCUUCCAUACUCAUGUGACUUCAGACAGUUUUCCAUUGUCUUUAUUCUUUACUUAAGGAAAGAACAGAUAUUGGACUGGGAGUCAAGAAUUACUGAUGUGAUGAUGAACCCUGAGCCAACUGGCAAACAGCUUCACCUUUCCAGUGAAACAGGAGGCAAGAACCAAAUACAGAGCUUUCCAUCGCCAAUGUCAUAUGGUUUUUAAGAUAAAUAUCAUUGGUUUUCAAAGACUACUACACAUGGUUAAACUCUUUUCUAUGUGGAGAGACAGGACUAACACCCUCUUAUAAAUUCACGCCUAAGCUUAUAUAGUAGGAAGAUAUGUUUUUGGAGAUAUCAUAUGACUCAACAGCCUAUGGUUCUGUGUAACAAUAAGCUACACAUGACAAGGAGUGUUCCACCACAUUUCUCAGAAGUAGAAGAAAUACACAAUUUAGAAAACCAUACGUGAAGCAUUUAUUGGCCUCCUUCAGUUGAUCCUCUUUGGGCUUAUAAAGCUCUACAUCAAUUGCCAUUCUUUAAAAUAAAGCGUACAAUUUAAAA
RNAcentral lists this long non-coding RNA (1352 nucleotides) under Macaca mulatta (Rhesus monkey). Its description in RNAcentral is "lncRNA (ENSMMUG00000049502.1)". Lineage: Eukaryota; Metazoa; Chordata; Mammalia; Primates; Cercopithecidae. The record is from RNAcentral.